Molecule: long non-coding RNA, 266 nt
Organism: Homo sapiens (human)
Lineage: Eukaryota; Metazoa; Chordata; Mammalia; Primates; Hominidae
Gene: ZBTB46-AS2
Product: ZBTB46 antisense RNA 2
Source: Ensembl
CGGGGGGUCUUCACACGGGCAGGUCCUGGAGGGAAGGAGGAGGCCACCGCGCCCACCUCCCAUCUGAAGGCACAGCACCGCAGUGGUGGCCUGUGCCAGAGGAGGGGGUGAAGGAUGGAAUGUCCUCAUGGAAAAGAAAGAACAUGUGAGUGCUUCUGAAAACACAGCAAGAGGACUUGAGCACAAGCUAAAGGAAAAACAACCCUAUAUAGUUUCUUCGAGUGAGAAAAAUAAUGCCAAACAAAAUAAUUUUAUGUAACUACCUC